Molecule: RNA transcript, 1334 nt
Organism: Trichosurus vulpecula (common brushtail)
Lineage: Eukaryota; Metazoa; Chordata; Mammalia; Diprotodontia; Phalangeridae
Gene: INIP
Gene name: INTS3 and NABP interacting protein
Exons: 7
Source: RefSeq, a predicted model, not a curated record
GCCCGGAGCCGGAAGGGCCCGGACAGUGGCGGGGCUGUGGGGCUGGAGGCGUGGGGCGGCGCUGAGGCUCCGGUCUUGUCCCGGCGGCGGGUGCAGAGCCGCGAGCCCCUCCGACAUCCGCCUCUCCAGAGGGCGGGCGCUCCGAGGCCCGCGGUGCACCGCCCUGUCAUUCUAAACCUGACUGCCGUAAUUGCUAUUGAAGAUAAUUGAACAGCAAAUAGGAGCAUGGCAACAAAUCCUCCUGGACAAGACUAGAUAUCCGGUCCAAGAGCCAGCUACAAGAUAAUGGGCAUAGAGAAGGAGAGAAAAGGAGCAGGUAUAAGAUUAUGAAUGACGAUUUAGCUCAUGACCACCCCCAAGAAGAAGUCAUUCAGUACCAACCAAACUGUUCUCAGAAGGUUUUCAAAAUAAGAACCGAGUAGCAAUCCUGGCAGAACUAGACAAGGAGAAAAGGAAAUUACUUAUGCAAAACCAAUCUUCAACAAAUCAUCCUGGAGCCAGCAUUGCCCUCUCCAGGCCCCCCCUUAAUAAGGAUUUUCGUGAUCAUGCUGAACAGCAGCACAUUGCUGCGCAGCAGAAAGCUGCCUUACAGCAUGCUCAUGCACAUUCUUCGGGAUACUUCAUAACUCAGGACUCUGCAUUUGGAAAUCUCAUUCUUCCUGUUUUACCUCGGCUUGACCCAGAAUGAAGGAAAAUGUUUGCAUUGGGGAAAAUAACUUUGUAAAAUGAACUGCCAAAGUUACUGUCGUUCUGAUUCACUCUGUGCUAAGCAAUGACUCACUUUUUUUGGUGAGAUUUUGUAUUUCAUGCCUUGUUACAAGAAAGGCACUUUACAUCUAUGCAGGUGAAAUGUAUAUAAAUGGUGCAUGUUAUGUACACAGUCUAUAACCAUUCUGUAAUGCACUGCGUUUAUUUAUACCAACAUGUUUGACUGCUUUAAAUAUUUUUUUUAUUCUUAAGUAGGAUGAAGUAUACAAUGAGACCAGACUAGAAUAUAGAAAAACUACGAAAGGUACUUAACUUUAAGGAAAUGCCGUUUUUCAUUCUAAACAAAUAGGGUUGGCUAUAGAAAACAUCCAUUCUUCUUGGUGUUUUAUCAGACUGUUAUUAGUAUACCCGCAGAAUUCAUGUUCUUGAACAUAUUGGUUUGGAAAAUGAUCCUGAAAUCUUUUAUGUGGCCUCAUCUCUGGUUUUCCUAGUCUCACUUUUAAUCCUAGAACAGAGAUGUUAGUCCAAAUUACAAACUCGUAUUAUACAUUUUUUUGGUAUUUCUUAAAUAUGAAAUUUAUGUAAAUAUUGUCAACACAUGAUAUUAAAAGUUACUGUGACAAUAA